RNAcentral lists this non-coding RNA (214 nucleotides) under Erysipelotrichaceae bacterium. Its description in RNAcentral is "T-box sequence". It matches the Rfam family "T-box leader". From Rfam's summary of the family: Uncharged tRNA acts as the effector for transcription antitermination of genes in the T-box leader family. T-boxes are found upstream of many aminoacyl-tRNA synthetase genes and some amino acid biosynthetic genes usually in Gram-positive bacteria. The record is from RNAcentral. Lineage: Bacteria; Bacillati; Bacillota; Erysipelotrichia; Erysipelotrichales; Erysipelotrichaceae.
CAAAAUGCGUUGAUAAAGACACGUCUUUUCGAAUCCUCACCUUCAGAGAGCGGCCUGCUUGGUGAGAAGGCCGUAUUUGAGCUUGAAAAGGUAUCCCUUUUGAGCAGAAAGAGUGAAUUCAGUAACUCUUUCCGGCAGCAGACCGUUAUCUGAGAGCGUCCUGUCUGAUUGGCAGGAAAUUUAGGUGGUACCGCGAUUUCAAGUCGUCCUAUUU